GGUGAUACUCCCGUUCUUGCCUAAGCAGCUUGCGCGUACGACACGUUUUCUUUGAGUCGCGUUGUUUGGGAAUGCAGCGCAAAGUGGGUGGUAAAUUCCAUCUAAAGCUAAAUAUUGGUGCGAGACCGAUAGCGAACAAGUACCGUGAGGGAAAGAUGAAAAGAACUUUGAAAAGAGAGUUAAAGAGUACCUGAAACUGCUGAAAGGGAACCGAAUCGUUUCCAGUGUCUAUAAUCCGUAGCAUAUUUCAUUGGCGAGUGGAUGCGUGCAGUGUUAAUGGCAGUAGCUUGCUGCGCCUUGCAUUGUUCUGCGUUUGCUUGCUGGUGCCCUGUGUUGCGGUGGGACGUCAGAGUCAGUUCGUAUGCUGCGGGAAAUGGUCGUCGAGGAGGUAGGUGCAUUAGCACUGUUAUAUCUCGGCUGACUAGUCGUCGUGGUUGGGACUGAGGUGCCUACAAUGUGCUUUAACGUCUUGCGGGCGCUCGUGUGGCCAACUGCUUGGAUAGCUUGCUAUGUCUGCGGUUGCGUCGGGCGAUUGUGUUUGUAAGUAACGUUUGCCGUUCGGGACUUUGACGAAAUGGAGCGAUCCGACCCGUCUUGAAACACGGACCAAGGASUCCAUGUGUGCAAGUGUUAGGGUGUGGAAACCCCAGCGCGUAAUGAAAGUAAAGGGCAGCGUUAGUUGUCUGAGGUAGGAAACCUUUCCUUGUGAGGGGUGGCACUAUCGACCGAUCAUGAACCUUCGUGGUGAAAGAUUUGAGUAUGAGCACAUAUGUUGGUACCCGAAAGAUGGUGAACUAUGCCUGAGUAGGGUGAAGCCAGGGGAAACUCUGGUGGAAGCUCGCAGCGAUUCUGACGUGCAAAUCGAUCGUCAAACUUGGGUAUAGGGGCGAAAGAC
Molecule: ribosomal RNA, 895 nt
Filed under: Myzocytiopsis humana
Lineage: Eukaryota; Oomycota; Myzocytiopsidales; Myzocytiopsidaceae
Description: partial large subunit ribosomal RNA
Source: RNAcentral